This 839-nucleotide unclassified non-coding RNA is filed under the name Leishmania donovani. Its description in RNAcentral is "gene:unknown". Lineage: Eukaryota; Euglenozoa; Kinetoplastea; Trypanosomatida; Trypanosomatidae. The record is from RNAcentral.
CGGCCCUCCCUCUCUCCCUGCCAAUGCCGAACCACCUCUGGCAGUGACAGGGUGAGGCGCCGACGACGUGGGGAGGUCCGAGCGACGUAUCGGUACGGGUGUCGGCGGCCAGGCCCUGGCUAGCAUUGCGCCGAAGCCACCUGAGUCGGCGCACACGUUUGUGCCAUCCACGCUGUAGGCAGGGCGGCGGCGUGGCUCGAGCGUAUCCCACCCCCGCCCCUCGCAGUGCCCACUGGUGGUGCGGGGAGCCUGCGUGCUGCCGCGCGGGGGAUGCACCAGGCGGCGACCUGCGGAGCGGGUGUGUGGGUAGAGCUUGAGGCAGGGGCCGUGCUCUCGGAUAAAUGAGUGGGCUCAUUGUGCUGUAGCGCGUGUGUCUAGGGCUGCUUCGCACCUCGCGAUGGGUGCCCAUGGCAGGGCUGGAGGCUCGAGAGUGGUGGCUCCCUCGUGCUGUAUGGCAGAGACAGGGGCACACGCUGAGGAAAACAAGCUUCUCUGCGAAGGACUCGACGUGCUGCGCCUGUCGUUGUCUCGGGGUCUCUCUUGCGCGGCACGACAGCGUUGCCCUCCUUGUGGAGGAGAAAGCACGGCAUAGCGUUGUGCGGCGCGACUCUUACGAGGGCGAGGGGGACGGCAUGGCGCUCAUGGACGCACGCGCACGGAUUCCUCAUCUGUGACCCACCAUAGCCCCCCCCCCCCCCCCCCCCCCACACACACACACACACACACACGUUCGCGCGUGCGCGCGCAGAGAUGCACGGUGGCCACCGUCGCGUCUUGCUCACUCGUCUCUGACCCCUUUCUCCCCGCUGACUCCCUCUCUUUGCCGGCGGCCACGCCAG